Molecule: ribosomal RNA, 460 nt
Filed under: uncultured bacterium
Lineage: Bacteria
Description: partial 16S ribosomal RNA
Rfam family: Bacterial small subunit ribosomal RNA
Source: RNAcentral
CCUACGUGCGGCAGCAGUGAGGAAUAUUGGUCAAUGGGCGCGAGCCUGAACCAGCCAAGUCGCGUGAAGGAUGACUGCCCUACGGGUUGUAAACUUCUUUUAUAAAGGAAUAAAGUGAGGCACGUGUGCCUUUUUGUAUGUACUUUAUGAAUAAGGAUCGGCUAACUCCGUGCCAGCAGCCGCGGUAAUACGGAGGAUCCGAGCGUUAUCCGGAUUUAUUGGGUUUAAAGGGAGCGUAGAUGGUUUGUUAAGUCAGUUGUGAAAGUUUGCGGUUCAACCGUAAAAUUGCAAUUGAUACUGGCAGCCUUGAGUAGAGUAGAGGUAGGCGGAAUGCGUGGUGUAGCGGUGAAAUGCUUAGAUAUCACGAAGAACUCCGAUUGCGAAGGCAGCAUACUAAACUGCCACUGACAUUGAGGCUCGAAAGUGUGGGUAUCAAACAGGAUUAGAUACCCGUGUAGUC